RNAcentral lists this transfer RNA (89 nucleotides) under Murimonas intestini. RNAcentral's name for it is "tRNA-Ser". It matches the Rfam family "tRNA". Rfam says of the family: Transfer RNA (tRNA) molecules are approximately 80 nucleotides in length. Their secondary structure includes four short double-helical elements and three loops (D, anti-codon, and T loops). Lineage: Bacteria; Bacillati; Bacillota; Clostridia; Lachnospirales; Lachnospiraceae. The record is from RNAcentral.
GGAGAUGUACCCAAGCGGCUGAAGGGACCGCACUCGAAAUGCGGCAGGCCGGUAAUCCCGGUGCGAGAGUUCAAAUCCCUCCAUCUCCG